ACGAACUGGAGGAGGAUAUUACCAUUCCCCUGACUGGUCAUCUGGAGGGUGAAACCAGAAGGAAACUGGGAAUUCUGUUGAAGAAAAAUUUUGAAAAAUACAAGGAGACGAUCCUCUGGAUUAUGAGGAAACGUGAAACCAUAUUUAGCCAAAGGACUGCAGAGAGCACGUUCACGUUUCACUUAUGUAAUAUACCACCACAAGAUGAGGAGGAGGAGGUGGAGCCAGAGAAAGAAGUCAAAAAAGCUCGUCGUGUCGUUCGCCGUACGAAGACGUUAGAACUAGAUACGGACUGGAUCAACAGCAAGCUUAAGGUAAUGC
RNAcentral lists this long non-coding RNA (321 nucleotides) under Bos mutus (wild yak). RNAcentral's name for it is "lncRNA (ENSBMUG00000013589.1)". Lineage: Eukaryota; Metazoa; Chordata; Mammalia; Artiodactyla; Bovidae. The record is from RNAcentral.